UACAGAGGGUGCAAGCGUUAUCCGGAAUCACUGGGUUUAAAGGGUGCGUAGGCGGCUUGGUAAGUCAGAGGUGAAAGCUCACGGCUCAACUGUGGAACUGCCCCUGAUACUGCCAGGCUUGAAUGGGCGCGAGGCAGGCGGAAUGUGGCAUGUAGCGGUGAAAUGCUUAGAUAUGCCAUAGAACACCGAUUGCGAAGGCAGCCUGCCAGAGCUCUAUUGACGCUGAGGCACGAAAGCCAGGGGAGCAAACGGG
This 253-nucleotide ribosomal RNA is filed under the name uncultured bacterium. Its description in RNAcentral is "partial 16S ribosomal RNA". It matches the Rfam family "Bacterial small subunit ribosomal RNA", at positions 524 to 776 of the family's 1533-position model. The record is from RNAcentral.